RNAcentral lists this transfer RNA (67 nucleotides) under Crocidura gueldenstaedtii (Guldenstadt's white-toothed shrew). RNAcentral describes it as "Crocidura suaveolens gueldenstaedtii tRNA-Cys". It matches the Rfam family "tRNA". Rfam says of the family: Transfer RNA (tRNA) molecules are approximately 80 nucleotides in length. Their secondary structure includes four short double-helical elements and three loops (D, anti-codon, and T loops). The record is from RNAcentral. Lineage: Eukaryota; Metazoa; Chordata; Mammalia; Eulipotyphla; Soricidae.
AGCCCUGUGGUGAAAAGUCAUAUUGAAUUGCAAAUUCAAAGAAGCAGCUUCAAUUCUGCCGGGGCUU